UAGGGAAUCUUCCGCAAUGGACGCAAGUCUGACGGAGCAACGCCGCGUGAGUGAAGAAGGAUUUCGGUUCGUAAAACUCUGUUGUUAGAGAAGAACAGCGCAUAGAGUAACUGUUAUGCGUGUGACGGUAUCUAACCAGAAAGCCACGGCUAACUACGUGCCAGCAGCCGCGGUAAUACGUAGGUGGCAAGCGUUGUCCGGAUUUAUUGGGCGUAAAGCGAGCGCAGGCGGUCAAUUAAGUCUGAUGUGAAAGCCCCCGGCUCAACCGGGGAGGGUCAUUGGAAACUGGUUGACUUGAGUGCAGAAGAGGAGAGUGGAAUUCCAUGUGUAACGGUGAAAUGCGUAGAUAUAUGGAGGAACACCAGUGGCGAAGGCGACUCUCUGGUCUGUAACUGACGCUGAGGCUCGAAAGCGUGGGUAGCGAACAGG
Molecule: ribosomal RNA, 429 nt
Filed under: Bacteroidota bacterium
Lineage: Bacteria; Pseudomonadati; Bacteroidota
Description: Bacteroidetes bacterium partial 16S ribosomal RNA
Rfam family: Bacterial small subunit ribosomal RNA
Source: RNAcentral